Molecule: small RNA, 597 nt
Filed under: Penicillium chrysogenum
Lineage: Eukaryota; Fungi; Ascomycota; Eurotiomycetes; Eurotiales; Aspergillaceae
Description: eukaryotic LSU rRNA
Rfam family: 5.8S ribosomal RNA (bases 219-371)
Source: RNAcentral
CGUAACAAGGUUUCCGUAGGUGAACCUGCGGAAGGAUCAUUACCGAGUGAGGGCCCUCUGGGUCCAACCUCCCACCCGUGUUUAUUUUACCUUGUUGCUUCGGCGGGCCCGCCUUAACUGGCCGCCGGGGGGCUUACGCCCCCGGGCCCGCGCCCGCCGAAGACACCCUCGAACUCUGUCUGAAGAUUGUAGUCUGAGUGAAAAUAUAAAUUAUUUAAAACUUUCAACAACGGAUCUCUUGGUUCCGGCAUCGAUGAAGAACGCAGCGAAAUGCGAUACGUAAUGUGAAUUGCAAAUUCAGUGAAUCAUCGAGUCUUUGAACGCACAUUGCGCCCCCUGGUAUUCCGGGGGGCAUGCCUGUCCGAGCGUCAUUGCUGCCCUCAAGCACGGCUUGUGUGUUGGGCCCCGUCCUCCGAUCCCGGGGGACGGGCCCGAAAGGCAGCGGCGGCACCGCGUCCGGUCCUCGAGCGUAUGGGGCUUUGUCACCCGCUCUGUAGGCCCGGCCGGCGCUUGCCGAUCAACCCAAAUUUUUAUCCAGGUUGACCUCGGAUCAGGUAGGGAUACCCGCUGAACUUAAGCAUAUCAAUAAGCGGAGGA